CUAUUAUUAGGGAUUGAUAUAAUCCAAUUAUAUCAUGAAAUAUAUCAUUAUAGAUUUCCAUCCCAUGUAUCUAGACUAUAUCUCCCAUAUACAUUCUAUCUUCAUAUAAUGUAUUAAAGUCAUAACUUUAACGAAGAAGUAUUCUUUUUAUUUCCAAAAUUAAUAUAUCAUAUAUACUUAAAUUUUAGGAACAUGAUUAACUCCCACUAAUCUUUUGUAAAACUCGUAAACAAAAGAUUCAUUUACAUCUUGAUGAGAAAUCAAACGAUUUGAUUCUUUUUCCUCAUAAAAUGCAAAUAGCUCCCACUAACUUGCUAAGAUCCAUGAUGGAUGGAUCUCUACAACUUACAUGUCUUGUGAUUUAUAGUUUUGGACAUAUAUUAUCAAGACUAUCUUAAUAAUGGUUUCGGAAACCCAUAUUAUGUCAAAACAUUGAAUCACCAUUUUAGUUGUAGCUAGCAAUCUUCGAAUUAAUUGAAACCAAGCCUACCUCAAAGAUGGUUUCUUCAAAGUCAACCAUUCUCUUUGAUUGUAGUUACCUUAAGCUACCAAUUAGCUAUGAAGGAUUCAUUAUUUCGAGUCAAAUGGUACUUUACCAUUUCCUUGAGUAUAUAUCGUAUAUGCACUCAAUGUAGUCAUAAGGAUUUUCAUUCUUAUCGACUACCUUGGAGCUUGUGGUAUAGGAACUAGGUUGUUAUAUAUUUGUUGAUUACUUCCUUGUUUCUCAAAGAACCCAUUCUUUGAGUUCUAUCUCUCGUUCAUUUGCUCUUAGGCAAAUCACAUUGUAGGAUUACAAUGAACUUCCCAACAAAACAACAUUUGUUAGUUGGUUUAUAGAAGCGAUAUCCAAAAGUUAUUUUAAGGAUAUCCUACAAGAUUGUUAUCAAACGAAUAUUGGUUAUUAGCACACAACCCCAAAUCUUUAACAUGCUUAAGAUUUGUCUUUCUUUUCCAACU
RNAcentral lists this long non-coding RNA (957 nucleotides) under Malus domestica (apple). RNAcentral describes it as "long non-coding RNA (MDOM_LNC009136)". The record is from RNAcentral. Lineage: Eukaryota; Viridiplantae; Streptophyta; Magnoliopsida; Rosales; Rosaceae.